Suricata suricatta (meerkat) is the source of this 296-nucleotide long non-coding RNA. RefSeq lists it as uncharacterized. NCBI's taxonomy places the organism in Eukaryota, Metazoa, Chordata, Mammalia, Carnivora, Herpestidae. The record is from RefSeq and is a predicted model, not a curated record. The transcript is spliced from 3 exons.
CUGGCAGCAGCUAGGUCUCGGGGGUGCUGGGAGCCACGCAAGGUGUGGGAGUCCAACUCGGGGUAGAGGCCUCACCGACCCCUCCUGGCUCCGCCCCCCAGAGGUGUUUUGGUGACGAGUACUACGGCACUGCGGAGGAGGAGAAGCCGCAGUUUGAGGAGGAAGAAGGGCUUGAAGAUGACUGGAACUGGGACACCUGGGCUGGGCCUGAGCAGGAUGGAGCUUGGAGCCGGCAGGAGCCACACUGCGAGGACCCCGACUUCAAUAUGGACGCUGACUACGACCCCAGCCAGCCC